This 469-nucleotide ribosomal RNA is filed under the name uncultured bacterium. Its description in RNAcentral is "partial 16S ribosomal RNA". It matches the Rfam family "Bacterial small subunit ribosomal RNA", at positions 28 to 508 of the family's 1533-position model. The record is from RNAcentral.
GACGAACGCUGGCGGCGUGCUUAACACAUGCAAGUCGAACGGAAAGGCCCUGCUUUUGUGGGGUGCUCGAGUGGCGAACGGGUGAGUAACACGUGAGUAACCUGCCCUUGACUUUGGGAUAACUUCAGGAAACUGGGGCUAAUACCGGAUAGGAGCUCCUGCUGCAUGGUGGGGGUUGGAAAGUUUCGGCGGUUGGGGAUGGACUCGCGGCUUAUCAGCUUGUUGGUGGGGUAGUGGCUUACCAAGGCUUUGACGGGUAGCCGGCCUGAGAGGGUGACCGGCCACAUUGGGACUGAGAUACGACCCAGACUCCUACGGGAGGCAGCAGUGGGGAAUAUUGCACAAUGGGCGGAAGCCUGAUGCAGCAACGCCGCGUGCGGGAUGACGGCCUUCGGGUUGUAAACCGCUUUCGCCUGUGACGAAGCGUGAGUGACGGUAAUGGGUAAAGAAGCACCGGCUAACUACGUGC